Molecule: long non-coding RNA, 897 nt
Organism: Cotesia glomerata
Lineage: Eukaryota; Metazoa; Arthropoda; Insecta; Hymenoptera; Braconidae
Exons: 3
Source: RefSeq, a predicted model, not a curated record
UUUUUAACAAUACAAGAAUUAUAAAAAAAAAAAACAAUUAAAUUUUGAGGUUAUGAAACUGUUAUUUCACAAUAAUUCAUUCCUUACGUUAUUGUAUUAAAUUCCGGUUAAAUGGCGGAAGAUUAAAAGACAAAGGACUUAUGUGAGUAAAAAAUAAGAACGGGUGCAGCUGAUGGGAAGAAAAAUAAUUCCCACAAGAUCGUUUGGUCUUCCGUGCAGUAGCAAUACUCGCAUAUAUGUUAAAUAAAAUAAAAUUCGUGUAGAGUCGUGAUCUUAUUCGACGGAACAUAUGUGUAACACAAGGGGCGUAUCAUCCGGUGGUCUUUGCGGUCCGUCUACCAUAAAUGUUCGACAGUUUGCAGCCGCAAGACUCCAAAACACAUCCCGUGAAAUUCAAGUGUAUUGCCAGAGCACUUGAUCGCGUUUGUUCAAGUCUACAUUCUACACUCUGGAUCGCUUAUUUUAUUUUUUUCCUUACCUCUAUACUUUUACCCAGACUUGUUUUUCGUCAACGUCAACGUCGCCAAAAUAUGUGUACGCACAUCAGUCAGAGCUGGCCAGAGCAUCCUCUAAUGCUUAGCAAACGAAACUAAAAAAUAAAUAAUCAGCCAGCUUACGGAAAAUUAUGGCAGGAUAAUGGCCGAGCCAGAAGAAGAGUAGCAGACAAAUUGUUUCGGGCAUGCUAUUCCAAUGGACAAAAUUACUCGUCGGAAAUUCAUCAUGAAGCCCCAACUAACUCGAGUAGCCAAAGGCUUCUCGUCCACAGCCUCGGGAUUUUUAGAUUAGAGAUUCCAUUAGGAAGACUAGGCUGGCCAACAAUGCGGAAUUUUGUCAAAAAUUAUGGAGGUAUUACUUACUUCUAUUAAUAAUUAAAGUCAAUUGUCAAUAUGGCUUCUC